GGAGGGCCCUGCUCCCCACUCUCAAACCUUUGGAGGAGUGGCAUUGUGUUUGGGGGUUCUUUGUGUCCUGUUGGUGUCAACCAUUUUACCUCUCUGUGUCUACUUCAGCACUGCCCUCUCAGAGCACAACACAAAUUUGGUGAGGGAACUGGAGCAGCUAACAGAUGAGCAUAUAUCCCUACUGGCAGCCAAUCAGGACCUAAUGAAUCUCUACUGCAAGCUGAGUGUAGCCAAUCACAUUUUGCAGAGCGAUUACAUCAAAGUGUCUACUGAAAACCAGCAAUUGAAGGCAGAGAGGAUGAACUUGUCAAGAGACCGGGAUGGGCUCAACUGGACUCUUGGGGUCAUAUUUCAGUUGAAGAAUUUCCCAGUUGAUAACUACUGCCCAUAUGAAGAUGCCAACACCAAAGAUAGAGCAUGCAAACCUUGUCAAGUUGGCUGGGUGCUGUUCCAAUCCAGUUGUUACCUGUUUCUGCACAUUAAAGUCCCCUUCGGUCACCUUUGGAGGACCUGGCAAGGAAGCAGACAGCACUGCAAAAACAACAAUGCCGAUUUGGUUGACAUAGGCAGUCAAGAGGAACAGGAAUUCAUUCUCAACAACACUCAAGCCUACUAUGAUGAAGAUCAUGGGUACUGGAUCGGCCUGACUGACAUAGCAGAAGACGGUCAAUGGCUUUGGGUUGAUGGACGUAAUCAGAAUCUGACUGAUGGGUUUUGGAAGAAUCAACCUGUAUGGGGUCGCGAUUGUGCUUUAACUAACCCAAACAAUGAACCUUUGGCUAAUUGGAAUGCUGCAUCAUGUGGCCAGAGAAACCGAUGGAUCUGUGAGAGUAAAGCAUUAAUAUGGUCAGGAUAAAUUGAGCCACGUUCACAGUCAAAAAAGCUAUUGUAUAGCAGUGUAUAACCAUUUUUAAAUAGAACACUUGUGUAGGGCUUUUAGGUUCCGUUUUUUAAUAUAUAAAAAAAAGCAGUUUUAUAGCGAUGCAACACUCUAAAUCAGCAGCUUUAAUCGUCACUUCAUGUAAAUGUACCUCAGAGUAGUUAGGAAAGUUAAUUGAGCAAAGAAAAUGCAUUACUGUGCUCAUAUGUAGCAACCUCAUAUCUGAUGUUGAUAUCACAUUGUUUAAAACAGCCAUGUUGAGAAUAUUAAUACAAGACCACUAGACAAGUAUAAAAACACCAGUUGACGCUAAAAUACACUGCUCAAAAAAAUAAAGGGAACACUUAAACAACACAAUGUAACCCCAAGUCAAUCAUACUUCUGUG
Molecule: long non-coding RNA, 1266 nt
Organism: Oncorhynchus tshawytscha (Chinook salmon)
Lineage: Eukaryota; Metazoa; Chordata; Actinopteri; Salmoniformes; Salmonidae
Exons: 5
Source: RefSeq, a predicted model, not a curated record